Molecule: long non-coding RNA, 2779 nt
Filed under: Homo sapiens (human)
Lineage: Eukaryota; Metazoa; Chordata; Mammalia; Primates; Hominidae
Description: HSALNT0155142
Source: RNAcentral
CUGUCACCGGCCGGUCCCCCCGGCCGUCCCCGCCCGCCUCCCCCUGUCUCUUUCCAUCUCCCGGUCUCCGCGGCGUUUCUCUGCCUCCUUCCUCGCCUCUCCCGGCCUCUCUGGCUGUCCCCGGCUCUCUUCCUCACUGCCUCUCUCUUUUUCUCUUACCCCUCUCUCCUCGGCUGCUCUCACCACUUCCUCCCUCCCUCUCCGGCUUCCUUCUACCUCCCCUCACUCUCCCCCCUUUCUCGCCUUGCUCAGGGGGACUCGCUAUCUCUUUCUCUGUCUCUCCUUGGAACAGCGGCCCCCAAAAUGCAACUGAAGCCAUUUCCCUGCUCUGAGACCUCGGACAAGUCACUCCCCGCCAGGGCUGCAGUUUCCUGUCUCUAAAAGGAGUUGAUGAGCAGCUCUAGGUGGGGUGGCGAUGGGGGACGCAGGAGGUGCCCCGUGCCUGUGGUCCCCUGUUGAAGUUCACGCCUCCUCAAAUGCAGCGGCCACCCAGCGCUCGCUGGGUGCCAUGUGUGCCCCACAAAACACCUUUCCUCAGCCUCGAGGACAAGUACCAGAGGCCAGUUCCGCGGGAAAAGUUAAUGGUGGUUUCCUCCAGGGUCCCUAAAGCCCCUCCUGAAAAGUGACUGUGGUUCCCCUCCCCCUGUCCUCAGGUUUUGAGUGGGCACAACCUAAGCUGGAUCUGAUAGGCCCUGUCACCUGCUGGUUCCUCCCUGGUUGACACCAAGCAGAGGGGCAAUGCUCUCUCGCUGUCCUUAGACCCAAGCAGGAGAAAAAUCUACCCUCCCUCCUUCCCUCCCCAUUCCCCAUCACACCAUGAUUGGCUUUUAAGCUUCAGGGAUGUUUCCCGGACCGAGUGUGGCUUCAGAGUCAGAGAGAUGUGAGUUCAAGACCACUUGCUUAGGUAAGUCACACUGCUCCAAGUUUCAGUUUCUUCAUCUGUGAAAUGGGAGCAAUAACCACCUCUUUUUCAGGAUUGCCAUUGAGAUCAUUCGUGGAAUCCAUAAAGUGCCCAGCCCACAGGUUAUUUAUUCUGUCCAGCUUUUAUUCAAGCUUUUUGCUUAGCACUGAGGAAACAGCAAUUCACGAGGCAGGCAUGGUCUCUGCCUUCAUGCAACUUGCAUUCUAGGAGGCAGACAGACUGUGGACAGCAAUUACAGAAUUUCAUGACAGUUAUACAAGUGCCAUGGAACAUAUAGAGUACGAUAAGACCAGAUAUCCAGGGAAACUGACCUGGUCUGGGGCUCAGGAAGGCCUUUCCCAAAGUGUGAUGACAUCGAAGCUGAGACCUGAAGUCAAUUGGGGCACCAGGAUUGCAGUUGGUAGGAAGUGGGCAGGGGGUGCUAAAAGAGGUGGUGGAGGGAGAGCGUUCCUGGCACGAGGGAGCAAGGCCAGCGCGAAAGCCGGAGUGGCCGGUGUGGGGUGGGGAGCGGGAUGAGGCUGCAGAGGUGGGCGGGGCCAGGCGUGGGCAGGCAGUGUCUUGUAGGCUGUGCUGGGAAGUCCCGGCCUCAGCGCACAGAAACUGCUCUCAUGAACCCUCAACCACAUGAGUCCCGAUUUCCCCUUUUCUGAGCUGGAAGGAAGAAGCCAGGCCAGCAUGCAGACUCAUUCUUUGCCUUUGGUUAUUCCUGGGGGCUGCCAUCUCUUGUCCUCUCCUUUGCUAUGUCCCAGCACUGUGCACCCAAAGAUGUCAUUGCCUACUAUGACAGCCAUGCCCCCACCCGAGGGCCUCCCUGGCAGCACACACUCAGGCUUGGUUUCUGUUUGUGCCCUUAAAGUCAGGCCCACAGGAGGCAUCGUCCUUGGCCACUGAUCCCCUGUUGUGUGCCAGGCCCUGUGCUGGGCAUGGCCCCUGUCCUCACAAAGCACUCCUUUUUCUGGGAAGACACUUUUGAGCACACAGGGAUGCAAUGACCAUGAUGAAGGAGUCUCAUGGGGGACCUGAGGCAUGGGGCUGGAAGCUCUUUGAGGGCAGGUCCAUCGUGUGUUUUCUCACCUCGCAUCAUCAUCAGGGUGUGGCACUGUGCCUGGCACCAAGGCAGACACUCAGAAACACGUAUUUGGAGGAUGAAAAAGAAAAGUGGAGUUUAAACAUAGAAGGAUGAAGGCUCAGUAGGAGCUCAGAGAGCCACAAGAAAGGGGGAGGAGACCUGCCUCUGAAGCUCUCGCUAGGGUCCAGAGGGGUUGCGUCACAGGCUUGAGGUCACACAGCCAGUAAGAGCCUGCGCCCGGAUUUGAACCCUGGUCCGCCUGCUCCUCUUUACUAAAAGGAGGAAGCAAAAGAGGAGGAGAAGGCAGAGGAAGGCGACGACUGAGAACAAAAGAAGAGCAGUGGCAAAGGAGUGGCUUUUGUGGACAAGAUGCGACCACCUCAUGAGGAUCAAGAUGUACUCCUUGCUCUUCUCUGCACAGCAGUCUCAAAACUAGGCUACACCGUCUGUCUCCUCUGGUCACCAUUUUGAGAGGCAGCAAGGGUCUUCCUAACCCUCAGCUCCCUCUGAUUUUUGGAAUUCAGAUUUGGAUUUUGGAUGUACAUCAAGAGGCUGGCUCCACGCAUUUUAAUUAAGUUGUCUUUUUUCAUUUAUUACUAAUACACUCCUCUUAACUAUGAUUUAUUGGUUAAACAAAGCACCAUAAGCCGUCACUUAUUCAUCUUAAUUUCAACAAAAUUAAAGUAGUCGCUGUUAGAUUGCACCUAAUUGCACUUGCAAUGAAAAGAACGGAGAUGUUAAUCAAAAUAAAUUGAAGAUAAACAAUAAAAUCAUUACAUCUUUGCGGU